Molecule: ribosomal RNA, 227 nt
Filed under: Sebastes viviparus (Norway redfish)
Lineage: Eukaryota; Metazoa; Chordata; Actinopteri; Perciformes; Sebastidae
Description: partial 16S ribosomal RNA
Source: RNAcentral
UAUGGAGCUUUAGACACCAAAGAAGAUCCUGUCAAGUAACCCCUUAUAAGGGCCUAAACUAAUGGAAUCCUUCCCUAAUGUCUUUGGUUGGGGCGACCGCGGGGAAACAAAAAACCCCCACGUGGAAAGGGAGCACCCCCUCCUACAACUAAGAGCCGCAGCUCUAAUUAACAGAAUAUCUGACCAAUAAGAUCCGGCAAUGCCGAUCAACGGACCGAGUUACCCUA